CGCGCCGCGGUUUCCGGGGGGGGACGGUGCGCAGCUGCACCGCCGGGCCGGCCGGAGCGGGAUGGCGGUGGCACCGUCCGGCCGCUCGGUGCCCCGCCAGGGCCUGGCCAUCGCGCCCGCCUCCGGGCCUCAGGCGGCGGCUGGCAGCCCCGGGACGGCGGCGCGGGGCGUCGGAUGCCGCGGCGCUGCGCGGGCGGGCGAUGCCGAAGCUGCGCGGGGAGGCCUUCUGGAGGGAGACACUGCGGAGCGCCCACUACGUGGUGGCGCCCAUGGUGGACCAGAGCGAGCUGGCCUGGAGGCUGCUGAGCCGCCGGCACGGUGCCCAGCUCUGCUACACGCCGAUGCUACACGCCCAGGUCUUCCUCAGGGACGCCAACUACCGCCGCGAGAACCUCUACGGCGAGGCCUGUCCCGAGGACCGGCCGCUCAUCGUGCAGUUCUGUGCCAAUGACCCUGAAGUGUUUGUCCAAGCAGCACUGUUGGCUCAGGAUUAUUGUGAUGCCAUAGACCUAAAUUUGGGUUGCCCCCAAAUGAUUGCAAAGAGAGGUCACUAUGGAGCAUUUCUGCAAGAGGAGUGGGAUCUUCUUCAGAGAAUGAUUUUACUGGCUAACGAGAAGCUCUCUGUUCCCAUCACAUGCAAAAUCCGCGUUUUCCCAGAAAUUGACAAGACAGUGAAGUAUGCACAGAUGCUGGAGAAAGCUGGCUGCCAGCUGUUGACUGUGCACGGCCGUACUAAAGAACAGAAAGGACCACUUGCUGGUGUGGCAUCUUGGGAGCACAUUCAAGCUGUCAGAAAAGCUGUAAGCAUUCCUGUCUUUGCAAAUGGAAACAUCCAGUGUCUCAGUGAUGUGGAAGAAUGUAUCCGUAAGACAGGAGUGCACGGUGUCAUGAGUGCAGAAGGUAAUCUUCAUAACCCAGCUUUGUUUGAGGGCCGAAACCCAUUGGUGUGGGAGAUGGCUGAGGAGUAUCUGGAGAUAGUGCAGAAGUACCCUUGUCCAUUGUCUUAUGUUAGGGCUCAUCUCUUCAAGCUCUGGCAUCACACGCUUCAAGUUUACCAGCAGCUGCGUGAAGAAUUAGCAAAAGUCAAGACUCUAGAGGGCAUUGUAGAUGUCAACAGGGAGCUGAAACUGCGAUGCCAGGAAGAAAUGGCUAAUCAGAAGGAAGGAGAAAAGCCAAAAGAAGGGUUGCCUUUUUUCCACUGGAUCUGUCAGCCAUACAUCAGGCCAGGGCCAAAGGAGAGAUGUAAGGAGAAUGGAGCCAGUGGGACUGAAAAAGGCGUGCGAGGGAAACGUGCUCUGGAAGAGGAGGAAGAUGGAAAUUCUGAGCUUCUGUCAAAGAAUAAACAAAAAAAGAAGUUAAGAAAUCCAAAUAAAAGCUUUGAUCCAUCUUUAAAACCCAAAUAUGCAAAAUGUGAUCAGUGUGGGAACCCUAAGGGCAGUAAAUGUGUAUUUAACAUGUGCCGAGGAUGCUGUAAGAAACAAGCAUUCAAGGAGACAGCAGACUGUCCAGUUCUUCUGCUUCCAAACCCUUGGGAUGCAUAGUUUCCAGCCUAUGAGGACCCCUUCUUUGUAACUAAGGAAUAAGCUGUUCUGUUUACCAGUGCGGUCAUCUCAUUUCAGAGUAGUCAAAGAGUAACUCAAAACCCAGAGAUCAGUCGGAGAGGAGAUGUAGAUGUGGGGGACACUGCUGUACUGAAGGAGGCUGGUGACAGUGCAGUGUGAAGCUUUGGAAGUGAAUAGUUAAAGAGCUCCUGCCAGGCCUCUGCUUCCCUGGGCCAAAGAACAUGCCAUCUCCAGCUCACCAUCAGCUGUGUGAACUUGUUCCACAGGUUUAUUUUAAGUUCUGGAAAAGUUUUAUUUAAGUAAAAAGCUGCUUACUCAGGGAAUUACCUGCAUUUGAAAUAAAAAGGAUGCAAUUAAAUUUCUCAUGCUGUGUUUUCAA
This is an RNA transcript of Falco peregrinus (peregrine falcon), 1941 nucleotides long. It is a transcript of the gene named dihydrouridine synthase 1 like, with no coding region annotated. The transcript is spliced from 14 exons. The record is from RefSeq and is a predicted model, not a curated record. Lineage: Eukaryota; Metazoa; Chordata; Aves; Falconiformes; Falconidae.